Molecule: ribosomal RNA, 468 nt
Filed under: uncultured bacterium
Lineage: Bacteria
Description: partial 16S ribosomal RNA
Rfam family: Bacterial small subunit ribosomal RNA
Source: RNAcentral
GACGAACGCUGGCGGCGUGCUUAACACAUGCAAGUCGAACGGACAGGCCCUGCUUUUGUGGGGUGCUCGUGUGGCGAACGCGUGAGUAACACGUGAGUAACCUGCCCUUGUCUUUGGGAUAACUUCAGGAAACUGGGGCUCAUACCGGAUAGGAGCUCUUGCUGCAUGGUGGGGGUUGGAAAGAUUCGGCGGUUGGGGCUGGACUCGCGGCUUACCAGCUUGUUGGUGUGGUAGUGGCUUACCAAGGCUUUGACGGGUAGCCGGCCUGGGAGGGUGACCGGCGACAUGAGGACUGAGAGACGGCCCAGACGCGUACGGGAGGCAGCAGGGGGGAAUAUUGCACAAUGAGCGGAAGCCAGAUGCAGCAACGCCCCGUGCGGGAUGACGGCCUUCGGGGGGUAAACCGCUGUCGCCUGUGACGAAGCGGGAGUGACGGUAAUGGGUAAAGAAGCACCGGCUAACUACGUG